AACGAACGCUGGCGGCAUGCUUAACACAUGCAAGUCGAACGAGACCUCCCUGCUUAGUGGCUCACGGGUGCGUAACGCGUUGGAUUCCACCCUCAGGUUCGGCACCUCUUAUUGGAAUAUGCGCUAAUACCUGGUUCUGAUGUUAGUUCAAAGCAUUCUGUCCUGAGGAUGAGCCCGCGUAGGAUUAGGUAGUUGGUGAGGUAAACGCCCGCCAAGCCGACGAUCCUUGGCUGGUCUGAGAGGAUGAUCAGCCACAGUGGGACUGAGACACGGCCCAGACUCGUAAGGGGGGCAGCAGUGGGGAAUAUUGGACAAUGGGCGAUAGACUGAUCCAGCAAUGCCGAGUGAGUGAUGAAGGCCUUAGGGUUGUAAAGCUCUUUUACCCGGGAUGGUAAUGACAGUACCGGGAGAAUAAGCUCCGGCUAACUCCGUG
RNAcentral lists this ribosomal RNA (433 nucleotides) under uncultured bacterium. RNAcentral's name for it is "partial 16S ribosomal RNA". It matches the Rfam family "Bacterial small subunit ribosomal RNA", at positions 29 to 507 of the family's 1533-position model. The record is from RNAcentral.